UAAUAAUAAUAACGACUACAGGUCCCGCCAUAUGGACGAGACGGCAAGACAGAAGGGUGACUACAUCGAUGACCCGGAUGAAAAUGAUGAUUACGGUAGGGAUAGAUUACCUCGUACACGAGAAUCACGUGCCAGAGGAAAACAAGUCCAUGUGUUAGUAAAACAUUGGUCUGGAUGAGUAGGUCAGGGUGUUUGUGACAAUCUUCGGCAGGCAAUAGAAGAUAACUAUGACGAAGCAGACGUAUCAUUUGAAGAGAGAAAUGGCGCAAUAAGAUCUUUUGAGGUGUACGUCAACGACAGUUUAAUGUAUUCAAAACUUCGGAACGGCGGUUACCCAUACGAAGAUGACGUAUUGCUUGCAAUUGAGAAAGCCAAGCGAGGGCACGAAGUCAAACUUGUUAGGAGCGGAAGGUCCAUUCUCUGUUCGAUUCUUUAGAGAUAAUGACGUCACAGAUACCCUGCACGAGACAUAAUCAUUCCGGAGAAAAAAAAAUCAAUAGUUUAUAAAAAAAAACUAAGUGUUACAAACUAUGAGAUGUACAUAUAUUGACAACAUUUGUGUUAGCAUAGCCUACAAUGACGUUUCACAUCGAAAAUUAAAGUGAUGUGGGACUGAAAAAAUGCACGUGCAAACACAGACACUUGGGUGUGUAGAGCUCAAGUCACCUUUAAAAUCAAAAUAAAAUGCAUAUUUGUCAAUCCCAGCACAUGUACUUAUCAUAUACAUGAAAAAACUUAAUAUAAGCCGUUUUUGGAAAUUUCAUAUUU
This is a long non-coding RNA of Ruditapes philippinarum (Manila clam), 768 nucleotides long. RefSeq lists it as uncharacterized. The transcript has 4 exons. Lineage: Eukaryota; Metazoa; Mollusca; Bivalvia; Venerida; Veneridae. The record is from RefSeq and is a predicted model, not a curated record.